AGUAACGGCGAGUGAAGCGGCAAGAGCUCAGAUUUGAAAUCCGGCGCGGCCCCCGCGCCCGAGUUGUAAUCUGGAGAGGAUGCCCCGGCGAGGCCGGCCGUCCAAGUUCCUUGGAACAGGACGUCUCAGAGGGUGAGAACCCCGUACCCGGCGGCCUGCCGAGCCGCGCGGGGCUCCUUCGACGAGUCGAGUUGUUUGGGA
RNAcentral lists this ribosomal RNA (201 nucleotides) under Hyalorbilia lignatilis. Its description in RNAcentral is "Dactylella lignatilis partial large subunit ribosomal RNA". It matches the Rfam family "Eukaryotic large subunit ribosomal RNA", at positions 82 to 279 of the family's 3401-position model. Lineage: Eukaryota; Fungi; Ascomycota; Orbiliomycetes; Orbiliales; Orbiliaceae. The record is from RNAcentral.